AGGUCUUGGUCUUAAACCUCAUAUUACCUAAAAAUCAUUUAUUUAUACAUGCAAGCCUCACCACGACGGUGAAACAGCCACAAUAAACCUAGAGCCGGCAUCAGCCAUUCGCCAUGACGCCAAGCAACAGCCACACCCCCACGGGCAACACAGCAGUAGUUAACAUUAGGCCAUAAGUGAAAACUUGACCAAGCAAAAUGAAUAAAGAGCCGGUUAAUCUCGUGCCAGCGACCGCGGUUACACGAUAGGCCCAAGAUAAUAUUAACGGCGUAAAAAUGACUAAAUAUUAACAGUCCUAAUUUAGGGAAGAAACCAAACUGGGCUGUAAAAAGCCAUAAGUCACAUUAAUUCCCCCCCCUAAUUUCACACAACUUUGACUCAUGAAAGCUAGGAUACAAACUAAGAUUAGAUACCCUACUAUGCCUAGCCGUAACACACAAUUAAACUACCAAUUGCCCGCCAAACAACUACGAGUCAUACUUAAAACUUAAAAGACUUGACGGUACUUCAUCACGCCCUAGAGGAGCCUGUCUAAUAACCGACAAUCCACGAUUAACCCCACCCUUUCUCGCCCAACAGUCUAUAUACCGCCGUCGCCAGCUUACCUUGUAAAAGAAAUAAAGUAAGCUAAACAGUACUACACUAAAACGACAGGUCGAGGUGUAACCCAUGAAAGGGACCAAGAUGGGCUACAUUCUCAAACCAAGAAUACGAACAGCACUACGAAACUAAUGCCCGAAGGCGGAUUUAGCAGUAAGAUAGGGAUAAAACACCUAACUGAACAUAACGCAAUGAAGUGCGUACACACCGCCCGUCAUCCCUGCCACCACAACAAUUAAUCUUAAUAAACCGACCCCAAAUAACCAAGCAGGGCAAGUCGUAACAUGGUAAGUGUACUGGAAAGUGUACUUAGAAA
RNAcentral lists this non-coding RNA (916 nucleotides) under Protobothrops kaulbacki. The record is from RNAcentral. Lineage: Eukaryota; Metazoa; Chordata; Lepidosauria; Squamata; Viperidae.